UGGGGAAUAUUGCACAAUGGAGGGAACUCUGAUGCAGCGACGCCGCGUGAACGAAGAAGGCUUUCGAGUCGUAAAGUUCUUUUAUAUGGGAAGAUAAUGACGGUACCAUAAGAAAAAGCCCCGGCUAACUACGUGCCAGCAGCCGCGGUAAUACGUAGGGGGCUAGCGUUGUCCGGAAUCACUGGGCGUAAAGGGUUCGCAGGCGGAAAUGCAAGUCAGGUGUAAAAGGCAGUAGCUUAACUACUGUAAGCAUUUGAAACUGCAUAUCUUGGGAAGAGUAGAGGUAAGUGGAAUUUUUAGUGUAGCGGUGAAAUGCGUAGAUAAUAAAAAGAAUACCGGAGGCGAAGGCGACUUACUGGGCUCAUUCUGACGCUGAGGAACGAAAGCGUGGGUAGCAAACAGG
RNAcentral lists this ribosomal RNA (403 nucleotides) under Fusobacteriota bacterium. RNAcentral describes it as "Fusobacteria bacterium partial 16S ribosomal RNA". It matches the Rfam family "Bacterial small subunit ribosomal RNA", at positions 355 to 776 of the family's 1533-position model. The record is from RNAcentral. Lineage: Bacteria; Fusobacteriati; Fusobacteriota.